CCGGUCUCCCGGUUCACUUCUGGUUGCAUCUUGCCCGUGAGCUCCUUCUUCUUACAGCCAGCUUGGCCCUUUUCUCGCCAUCUUUUGGGUAAUGCAGCGUAUCAAGCAGGCGAAGGCGAGGAUCAGAUGCGGUAGCAGCUGAAGGAGUCAUGGAGAGGGGGCGAGAGUGAGCAGCGGCUGUCGGCCAAGAAGGAAGAGGCUAGGGCGAGGACCGGAGGAGGAGGCGCUCAUGGUGGAGCAUAGGAGGAUGGAGGCGGAGUGCUACUGCAACGGCUGUGGGACUGGGCGAAAGGAUGAAAUUAUUGUUUACUUUAGAUUGGGGUGCUGGAGCCAAUGAAAAAAGAUCACUGCAGCUUUGAAUGUAGGCACAAGUCAAAUGAAACUAUUGGAUGGAGCAAUUCAGUGCGGUGGGGUACAGGGGCUGGUGCAGGAGGAUAUAUAACAGCAGAGUUCAUCUCUGUUUUGCUGACAAUUUACACUGAAACUGUUGAAAAGUAGAUAAUCAGCCAAUAAACAGUAAAUCAUCACAUCUAUUUGCUUUUCUGGUAUAUGGGGCCAUUAUUAUUCUGGUACUUCUAAAGAGUCAUUAUUCUUAUGGUACUUCUAAAUUUGCAUAUCUUUGUGUUCAGAUGGAAGUCACCUGGCAAAGGUCUAACGUUUCAGAUUUAAUGUUAUAUACAUGCCCAAGAGUAAUACGUUAUAUAAUAUACUCUAGACUGUAUUCUUAUUUAGUUUUUUUUCAUGCUUCUUGUUUCACUGGGCUAUUGCAAAGAUGACAUAUCCACUUGGAGUUGGAUAUUAUUUUGAUAACCAUAUCUAGCUAUUUUUACAAAAAAUAUCAAUUAACUUGCAUCGAUUCAAUGCUAGAGCGGUAGUCAUGAAACAUUGCCACUGCGCCACAAGGCGAUUAAAAUCAUGGAAAUUGAUAUAAAAGUUACUUGUGAUUUAUAUAGUCAUGUAAUCACAAACCAUAAUGAUAAAAAAGCCAAAUCAUUUAUUUUAUUGGAGAAUACAUCAAAUAUAUGGAUAAUCAAAGGUGAAUGUAAAUGAAAUGCUCCAUGUACGUUUAGGCUCCAGUAUAAGAUUAAAAUAGUGGAUAAAUCAUUGUACCAUAUUCAAUUAGAACUACAAAGAAGAAGAGAAAUGAUUGAAUAGCAAAUUCUGACCGGCCAAUUCCGCCGGGCACCGUCAUGGGAGGAGGCGAACCAUCGAGGAGCAGCAUGGGAGGAGAUGAAAAUAAGCUGUCGGACUCCCUAUUCACUUCUGGUUGCAUCUUGCCUGAACCGUAUCACAACAAAUCAUUGGCAUUGCAACUUCAAGGACAUGUAUGAUGCAUAUCCCAUCACUGAACAAGAUUGGAUUUUAGUGUAUACAAGCCAUCCUACUCGCUGCCCUCCUCAGCUACUCAGAUAGUUCUUCCUUCUCAUUAUCAGUGAAUAAGUUGGUUAUAGAACAUGCUUGAAGAUUGUAGUACAUAGAGAUUGCCUGGCAGACUAAAAUAAUUAGGAGCUUCUGAUUGGACCCUUCAAGCAAUAGUGUUGUCAAUAUACUAAUUGUUGGAUUAUGUUACUAUACUCUUAGAACAACUUCCUGAUAUAUGUAUUUAUAGGAUUCUCUGAGAUUUGAUGCAAAAUAUUGAUGGUCGGGUGAAUGUAGUGGACUCGUCGAGAUCGAGGGCACCAACGUCAUAUGCCGAGGGCGUCCAUCGACAACCUGCCCAAUGUCCGGAUUCACCGAGGAGUACAACUGGAGACACUAUUGGUUGCCUGCAGGCCUGUGAGUACUUGCACUUGGACUUUUUUUAUGAGCAGUACUAAGUAAUCUAAUGAUAUGCUCCUUGCAAUCUAAGGAAAAAAUAAAUCUAAGUCAUUUCCGAUCCUAAGGUUUGGGUACUAACUAUUUGUGUUUAUGUCUACAAGCUUUUGAUUUUCUGCGUGGUCUAUCUUUUAUUUGCAAUGUUGGACACUCUUUCCUUUUCUUGUGAAUAAUGUUUCUGUUUGAUCGUACUCUCGAUAUACUGCAUAUUAACUCUAUACUACAGAAUUUGUGAACAAUCAGUACUACACCUGGUUAUCUAGAGAGGAAGGCAAUGACAACUAGAUUAGACAUUUCACAAGAUCCUCCCAAUUACAGACAUAAACUCCUUGAUUAUCGGAGAUUGUCAGAUGGAAAGAAGGUGUAUCCUUUAUCUUUAUUUAGAUGUUUAAUUAGCUGUACAACCGUACAUGAUUUUGUAAGGAAACUAUUUAUCUUGAUGAUCCUGAUAUCGAGUCGUGUAUUAGUAUAGGCUGUAAUUUUUGGCUAGGAAUCUAUAUAUGCAGCCAUGUAUGAAUAGGCUAUGAUUCUUUUUUCCUUCUGAACAGAUUCUUUUUUUGUUCAUUCCUUGUGAAAUAAUUCCAGAGCUACUUUGUUGUAGUAAUUAUUUGGCACAUCCAUAACUCACCCAGUUUAUGCGUGAUUAUUUAGUGUAUUUGGUUCCAAAGUGAACAAACUAUUGGCCUUCGCUAGGCAAGGAUAGGUGUUUGGUACCAAAACAAAAAAUUAACUUUGUCAAGCUAACUAGCAUGCAUGGGUUUGAAUCAGCUACUUCUUAUAUCCCUGGACUAUAGAUAUUACAUGCAUCAGUACUUGAUGCAUCUCUGAUAACUUUUUGCUAAUAUCAUUGAAUUUCUCAUGAGAUCUCUCUAGACCUUUCCAAAUGUAUUUUAGUUCAGUGUUUUGUAUUAACUAGUAGAAGAAGGGAUGCAAAUGGAAAGAAUUUGAGAUGCAUAAACAUGAAAGCACUAAAAGAUUCUCUCAAAGCAAAGAUGUCUAGCCGGGAUACAUAUGGCAAGAACCUUCAGAGAUUGACUUAUUUUCAGCUGCUAUUGAGAUAUAUACUUGCUCAUAGGUCUGAAUAUCGUCAUGAUCUUGGCUGAGAGGCUGGCAUUUUGGAAGGUUCUCGUGUGUAUAGAUUAGUUAAUAGGAUGACAAUUUAAGUUUAUUGAAGCUCUUCGUUAGGAGGCGGGGGUCUGCUUUGGUUUCUUGCUAUUUUCCUUUCUCUCAAAGUACUUGAUCGGAUGCAUCUGACAGUUUAUAAAUCAAUAAUUUGGAUGGUUCUACUUAAAUUAUAACUCUUAGUCUUUUCACUUAAAAAUAAUGUGAGUUAUUUUUUAGGGGAAAAUAGCUUUUGUUCACUUAAUAAAUCAUGUUCGUUAUAAUCAAUGCUGCUAUAUCAAAAAGUAGUGUCUCGUGCUGGGUAGCAUCCAUGUAGCUAUUUCUUGAUCAUAUAAUCUUAUAUCCUAUAUGUGCAAAUCAGGCCUUUAGGCUACUAGAAUUUCACUAUUGUUUAACUUAGGAAAAGCUGAUUGAUCCAUUAUCAAGGGCAGCAUGAAUUAUAUGUGAUUCAACACUUUUAUUAAGUUUCCAUUCUUCUUUUAGCUUAUUAGUUGCUAGUACCAAGCAUGAUCUUUGGUUUGCCAUGUACAACACCAGAGUCAUUUUAUUAAGCUGGCAUUAGUAAUUUUGCAUUUUACAUGGUUCAUGUGCAAGUUAAACAUCUGCCCAAUAAUACUAAUAUUAAGUUUAUAAUGUUGGCACAGUCUGUUAUUGCCGUUAUCUUCUUGGGAGUACUUGAGAAGGAGUGGCUGGGAAUGUGGGGACACGGCAUGGCAGAGGUGCAUGGUUGGUUGGAGGAGUCACGGAGGCAUGAAUGUGGACAUGUGGAUGUUAUCGUGACAUUGAUACGUUUCACUGCACCGAUGCUGCAUACCAAGGAUUCGUUGGAAGCCAAACAGGGCACCCGAGAAGGAGAAGAGGAGAAUGCUCUGAAGAGAGGAAAUGAUAAGUUUUAUCGUUUUGUUUUAAGAGCAAGAUAAGAUUUGAUAUGUAGUUCCCUGGUUUCUUUGUAUUCUACUCCCUCUGUCCCGAAAUAAGUGUCUCGACCUUAGUAUAACUUUGUACUGGAGUUAGUACAAAGUUCACACACUUAUUUUGGGAUGGAGGGAGUACUAUGUGUAUGGCCAAAGCACUCAUGAUUUUGUAGACAUAUAUUUUUAAACAAAAGCCUAUGUUUUUUUUUGCUCAAACAGAGUCACUGGAAAGUGCACAUAUUUUCAAUGCGUACAUGAUUUCAAAUGGGUCUAUGUGAAGAUGCUAUAAAAUAUUUUAUGUUGUCAAAUUAAAAUGUGUACAUACAUCUCGUUGUAGACAACAAUCGACCAUUUUUCCUAUUUAAGGUGAUUGAACCAUGGAUAAUUUUUUCCUCACACACAUGGAUUUAGGGUGCCUCUACACCAUUUGGUGCAACAAGCACCUGUUUUCCUUAACUAAGAGAGAUUAAGUUUAUUGUCAUAUGUGCUUACCCGUAACAAAAUCAUCUAAACUAUGGAUUUGUUUUCAUCACUAACAUGGAAUCAGCAGGUCUUUGUGCUAUUUGGCGCGACAGGUUUCGCAGCGUAAUAACAUAUUUUCAAUAUAGCAUUCUACUACAAAUAUCGAAUAGGUUCUUGCAAAAUGAAACUAUUUUCAUCGACAACAUUGCUUUAGCGGGUCUCUGCGCCAUUUGGUCAACUAGUGUAGCUAAAUUUCAAUGAUUUGUCCACACAUAUAUGCAUUACAUAAUUAAUCAUAGUGUACGAAAUAUGAAGACCUCAUCAGAUGAAAAACAAUGGAUCCAUGCAUAUAUGUU
This is an RNA transcript of Triticum dicoccoides, 4669 nucleotides long. RefSeq lists it as uncharacterized. The transcript has 5 exons. The record is from RefSeq and is a predicted model, not a curated record. Lineage: Eukaryota; Viridiplantae; Streptophyta; Magnoliopsida; Poales; Poaceae.